RNAcentral lists this ribosomal RNA (468 nucleotides) under uncultured bacterium. Its description in RNAcentral is "partial 16S ribosomal RNA". It matches the Rfam family "Bacterial small subunit ribosomal RNA", at positions 28 to 507 of the family's 1533-position model. The record is from RNAcentral.
GACGAACGCUGGCGGCGUGCUUAACACAUGCAAGUCGAACGGAAAGGCCCUGCUUUUGUGGGGUGCUCGAGUGGCGAACGGGUGAGUAACACGUGAGUAACCUGCCCUUGACUUUGGGAUAACUUCAGGAAACUGGGGCUAAUACCGGAUAGGAGCUCCUGCUGCAUGGUGGGGGUUGGAAAGUUUCGGCGGUUGGGGAUGGACUCGCGGCUUAUCAGCUUGUUGGUGGGGUAGUGGCUUACCAAGGCUUUGACGGGUAGCCGGCCUGAGAGGGUGACCGGCCACACUGGGACUGAGAUACGGCCCAGACUACUACGGGAGGCAGCAGUGGGGAAUAUUGCACAAUGGGCGGAAGCCUGAUGCAGCAACGCCGCGUGCGGGAUGACGGCCUUCGGGUUGUAAACCGCUUUCGCCUGUGACGAAGCGUGAGUGACGGUAAUGGGUAAAGAAGCACCGGCUAACUACGUG